This 464-nucleotide ribosomal RNA is filed under the name uncultured bacterium. RNAcentral's name for it is "partial 16S ribosomal RNA". It matches the Rfam family "Bacterial small subunit ribosomal RNA", at positions 28 to 507 of the family's 1533-position model. The record is from RNAcentral.
GACGAACGCUGGCGGCGUGCUUAACACAUGCAAGUCGAACGGAAAGGCCCUGCUUGCAGGGUACUCGAGUGGCGAACGGGUGAGUAACACGUGGGUGAUCUGCCCUGCACUUCUGGAUAAGCCUGGGAAACUGGGUCUAAUACCGGAUAGAGGCCAUUUUUCUUGUGAUUGUUGGAAAGAUUUUUCGGUUUGGGAUGAGCUCGCGGCCUAUCAGCUGGUUGGUGGGGUAAUGCCUUACAAAGGCGGCGACGGGUGGCGGGCCUGGAGGGGUGGCCGGCCCAUUGGGGCUGGGAAUAGGCCCCGGCCUCUAAGGGAGGCAGGCGUGGGGAAUAUUGCACAAUUGGCGCAAGGCUGAUGCAGCGAAGGCGCGUGGGGGAUGACGGCCUUCGGGUUGGAAACUCCUUUCGCUAGGGACGAAGCUUUUUGUGACGGUACCUAGAGAAGAAGCACCGGCUAACUACGUG